CCAGACUCCUACGGGAGGCAGCAGUGGGGAAUAUUGCACAAUGGGGGAAACCCUGAUGCAGCAACGCCGCGUGAGUGAAGAAGUCAUUCGUGAUGUAAAGCUCUAUCAGCAGGGAAGAAAAUGACGGUACCUGAGUAAGAAGCCCCGGCUAACUACGUGCCAGCAGCCGCGGUAAUACGUAGGGGGCAAGCGUUAUCCGGAUUUACUGGGUGUAAAGGGGGCGCAGACGGCAGCGCAAGCCAGGAGUGAAAGCCCGGGGCCCAACCCCGGGACUGCUCUUGGAACUGCGCGGCUGGAGUGCGGGAGGGGCAGGCGGAAUUCCUGGUGUAGCGGUGAAAUGCGUAGAUAUCAGGAGGAACACCGGUGGCGAAGGCGGCCUGCUGGACUGCGACUGACGUUGAGGCCCGAAAGCGUGGGGAGCAAACAGGAUUAGAUACCCCAGUAC
Molecule: ribosomal RNA, 445 nt
Filed under: uncultured bacterium
Lineage: Bacteria
Description: partial 16S ribosomal RNA
Rfam family: Bacterial small subunit ribosomal RNA
Source: RNAcentral